RNAcentral lists this ribosomal RNA (500 nucleotides) under Azospira sp. RNAcentral describes it as "bacterial SSU rRNA". It matches the Rfam family "Bacterial small subunit ribosomal RNA", at positions 836 to 1351 of the family's 1533-position model. Lineage: Bacteria; Pseudomonadati; Pseudomonadota; Betaproteobacteria; Rhodocyclales; Rhodocyclaceae. The record is from RNAcentral.
CCUUUGAGUAACGUAGCUAACGCGUGAAGUCGACCGCCUGGGGAGUACGGCCGCAAGGUUAAAACUCAAAGGAAUUGACGGGGACCCGCACAAGCGGUGGAUGAUGUGGAUUAAUUCGAUGCAACGCGAAAAACCUUACCUACCCUUGCAUGUCAGGAACUUUCCAGAGAUGGAUUGGUGCCCGAAAGGGAGCCUGAACACAGGUGCUGCAUGGCUGUCGUCAGCUCGUGUCGUGAGAUGUUGGGUUAAGUCCCGCAACGAGCGCAACCCUUGUCAUUAGUUGCUACGCAAGAGCACUCUAAUGAGACUGCCGGUGACAAACCGGAGGAAGGUGGGGAUGACGUCAAGUCCUCAUGGCCCUUAUGGGUAGGGCUUCACACGUCAUACAAUGGUCGGUACAGAGGGUGGCAAGCCGCGAGGUGGAGCCAAUCCCAGAAAGCCGAUCGUAGUCCAUCGUAGUCGAACUCGACUACGGAAUCUUUUCUCCAGAUGAGAGUUGA